This 324-nucleotide ribosomal RNA is filed under the name uncultured eukaryote. RNAcentral's name for it is "partial 18S ribosomal RNA". It matches the Rfam family "Eukaryotic small subunit ribosomal RNA", at positions 1470 to 1796 of the family's 1831-position model. The record is from RNAcentral.
CCCUUAGAUGUUCUGGGCUGCACGCGCGCUACACUGAUGCAUUCAACGAGUUUCUUCCUGGUCCGAGAGGAAUGGGUAACCUUUUGAAAGUGCAUCGUGAUAGGGAUAGACUAUUGCAAUUAUUGGUCUUCAACGAGGAAUUCCUAGUAGACGUAGUUCAUCAGACUGCAUCGAUUACGUCCCUGCCCUUUGUACACACCGCCCGUCGCUCCUACCGAUUGAAUGCUCAGGUGAGCCAUUCGGACUUUCAUCAUGCUGGUUUCCAGUUUUGAUGAAGGAGAGUCUUGCGAACCUUAUCAUUUAGAGGAAGGAGAAGUCGUAACA